AUUGAACGCUGGCGGCAUGCUUUACACAUGCAAGUCGAACGGUAGGGUAGCAAUACCUGAGAGUGGCGAACGGGUGAGUAAUGCAUCGGAACAUGCCUAUUAGUGGGGGAUAGCCCGGCGAAAGCCGGAUUAAUACCGCAUACGAUCUAUGGAUGAAAGCUGGGGACCGCAAGGCCUGGCGCUAAUAGAGUGGCCGAUGUCAGAUUAGUUAGUUGGUGGGGUAAAGGCUCACCAAGGCGACGAUCUGUAGCUGGUUUGAGAGAACGACCAGCCACACUGGGACUGAGACACGGCCCAGACUCCUACGGGAGGCAGCAGUGGGGAAUUUUGGACAAUGGGCGAAAGCCUGAUCCAGCAAUGCCGCGUGCAGGAUGAAGGCCUUCGGGUUGUAAACUGCUUUUGUACGGAGCGAAAAGGCUUCCAUUAAUACUGGGGGCUCAUGACGGUACCGUAAGAAUAAGCACCGGCUAACUACGUGCCAGCCGCCGCAGUAA
RNAcentral lists this ribosomal RNA (494 nucleotides) under uncultured bacterium. RNAcentral's name for it is "partial 16S ribosomal RNA". It matches the Rfam family "Bacterial small subunit ribosomal RNA", at positions 30 to 523 of the family's 1533-position model. The record is from RNAcentral.